CUUUGAGAGCUUUCCUGUACGUUAGCAGAGCAGCCAUUAUGCAGCUUAUCAAAGGAGGGAGAAGAUGAGAUGAUCAGAGAUCGAUAAAAGUUUGGUUUUUCUUCAUUUUACUCGGUGGUGAAGUUGGGUUUUGCCUGAAAAAAAAGACUAUUUUCAUGUACUCAACAGGACUUGGUUGGGCCGAAUAAAGCGGAUUCUUUUCUGAGAUCCAUGAGCGGAAGAAACAAGAUGGCGAACCAACCCUGAACCAUGAAAGUGAUCCCAGCGAAGCACCAAGCGCCCUCUGCUGGACACUGGACAACCCUUUCUCUGCUGGAACUGCAGGUGGCGUUUGAGUCUGUGAGGCGGCAUGGAGACGUUAGUCAGCAUCAAAAUGGCAGAAGGACCAGAGUCAUCGUCUGUCGACUUUUUUGCUCUCCAGUCUUACAGGUAAACGCAGCUGAGGCAUCAACAUCCUAUCACUCCAGCCAGCCUUCAGCUCAGGGACCAGAGGUUCAGGCACUUACCUCCAGACACAUGAUAUGAACACCACCGCUGGCAUUGUGGCCUCAACCAUGUCUGGUAAUCCCUAUUCCAGCAAUAACAAGGACCCUCUGCUCAGCUGACUUGAGGGGGGGGGUUUGACAAUCUAUGAGAGCAAUGGAAACAAAUCCAUUUUCCUGUUGCUCUAAAUGGAUAGCUAUUAAUACACUUAUUUAAUACAGUUAAUAUCAUCUUAUUAUACUCUGAAUGUCAGAAUCCAGCUUCUGCUCGGAUGAACAUCACUCACCAUAUUAAUAAUGGCCCCCCCUGAAAAUCCUCCCUAAAAGAAAAGAGGGAAAAGCUGCAGUCAGAAAGUUCUGAACGAUCCUCACGGACACACUGACCCAACCACGGUGGGAGCUCACCUUAGUCGGGCAGCUGUGCUGCAGCACGGUCCUCCCUUUCCUCAGCCUGGUAGGGCUGAAGAUGCCAGAGGAGACAGUCCACGGCAGCCCCGAAGGGCAGCCGAAAACAAGAACUGCCUCCCAUGGCUGUGCAGCCGGACUGCUGCCGAAUUGCAGGGAGGGCAGGGGGAUCUGUGGGAGGGGGAUGAAGACGAUGCAGAUUUGAGCAGAUCCUUGACACCACCUACUACACCAGAGAAGAUCUCUGCUGGACAUCUACAGCUCCCACUCCCUCAGUAAAGCCCAGAACAUCAGCAGAGACAGCGUCCACCCUGGACGUCACCUCUACUGCCCUCUAGAUCAUUUUAUAACAAGAACAGACUAAUAGACAGCUUUCUUCCUCAGUGGUGAAUGAUGAAUUGAGGAUUUAGUAAAACAUCGUUGCUGUCGCUCACCAUUUUCAAUGGUGGCCUGCAAAUAACCCCCACUCUUCAGCUUGACCUGAAUUCUGUGGCUCCCCUUUACCACGUGGACACAGGUUAUGAUGUCACCAUUGGGCGAGAUUAUAAAUCCUGUGCCCCCACUCCUGAAUGAGUUCAGAAGGGAUGCACUUCUAAAGAGAGACAGAGGGGACAACAGAUUUAAAGGGCAUGUAUGCCAUGCUAUUCUUAAGCCUACAUGCAUAUAUAUAUAUAUAUAUGACAAUAUGUUACCUUUGGCUCACUUAAGAACGAUUUUUUAAAAUAUAAAGUUAGUUAUUUUCGCAGCUCCAUUUUUGCAUAUCUAUGACAGCCCGCUCAUUUGAAUGGAUUGGGGGGGCUGGUACUCAGAGAACAGGUUUUAGAAGAAUCCUCAGGAAUGCUUGAAUAGAUCAAAAUACUGCUUUGGGGCUGUUUGUGGAGAAGAAUUACGGUAACAUGAUAUUAUACUCAAAAAGUAGAUUUUACACGAUAAAGGCUCCAUAAGGAGCUCAUCUGUGUCUAUGAAAGAAGCACUAGUUUAUUUCUGUUAACCCUGUAAAGCCCACUACAUCAGAGACUUAAAAAGAUCAAUAAUUUAAAAUGAAUUUCAAAUUCUGAUCAGGCCUUGAUUCCGAUUACUUUUGUCCAGGUAAACUCAGCUGAGGCAUCAACAUCCCAUCACUACUGCCAGUCUUUAGCUCAGUGAACAGAGGUUCAGGCACUAACCUCUUAGACACAAAUAUGGACACCACAGCAGGAGCUGCGGCGUCCACAAUAUCUAGGAUGAUAUCCCGCUUCCUGAAAAGGGGGACGGAGCUCCGUUCAGGUGAGGGGGGGGGUUUGAGAAUCUAUGAGAGUAAUGGAAACAAAUCAAUUUUCCUGUUGUUUAAAAUGGAUAUCUAUUAUUACACAUUUAUUACACUUAUUAUUAUAUUACUAUUGUAAAUGCAGUUAUACCAUAACAUGCUUUGCGUUGGACGGUUCCGGCUUCCACGGCGUUUGUUAAAAAGCGAUAACGCACACUUGGUCGGCCAUUGACCCUUAGUCUUCCCAUGGUUCGGGUGAAUACUCCAACAGGUGAACAUAACCAGGGCUUCAGGCUACAACUUUCAAUAAAAUCAGUACAUGCCCUCUUAAAUUUGCCAUUCUUUGGAUUAUUGAUCUUUUUUUAUCCUUUUGGAUUUGUUGCUUACCAAAGACUUAAACCAAAACGAAAUAAUUUUAAUGAAAUAAACUGUAAUCGAAUAACGUAGAAAAAGACUUGGCUAAUACAACCCAAAAGAAAACAGGGACUGAAAAAGGUUUUUAAUUCCAACUGACUGAUAUUCUAUGUUAAGGCGCUACAAAACCAACAUUCAGUGUUAACAGUCAUAGAAAAUUGUAGUACAUUUAAACUGAUUUCAUGCAUAGGUUGUGUUUUGCUGCCAUGAUAAUAGCAUUAAAUUGCACAUUUACUAAAGAGCAACACCAGACAGGGCCUGAUACCCUCACAACUGGUGUCUAUCGUUUCCUGAGCGUUAAAAAAAACCUGCUGUCCUUUUUCAAAAACCUGAUGCACAUUGAACUAAAAUCUGGCUUUUUCCAAAUUUCAUAGAACUAUGUUCUGAACUUUUCAGGUACUAACAUGAUUUAAAAAUGAUAAUCCAUUGAAGGUGCUGCACCAAACUAAUCUGAUUGCCAUCAAAUAAAGUUUUGGUUUCUGCAUUUCCCACGGAGGUGAAUCAAUCCUGUCUCAUGCUGACGAACAGAACUGCUAAACCUGUUGUAGUCUCAAGAAAACAUUCUGCACAAUAGACUUGAACAGGAAAAAAACACCACCAACCAGAGACAUCCCCUAAUCCCGCGGUAUUUGCUUUUAGCCGCCAUUUUCAAAAUUCAAAUCGCCCUCGAGAUGCCACCAGUUGACCGUUUCAGGCUAUCAAACUCUGUGAUUGCAAUUGCCCGUAUUAUCUGGACCGAAAAAUACUAUUGCGCGGUCCCCCGGCAACGCAUCGCGCCCCACUAUUUGAGAAGCACUGGGCAAACUAUUUGUACAAACCAGCAUUUUAAAGCAGGCAAAGCAGAUGCAGUGUUCAAACAAUGAGCAGUGAAUGGUUUGGAAAAAAUUCAAGAUCUGUAUCCAGUAGGAGCCUCAGACAUGAUGUCAUUCGAAAUGCUACAAUCAAAAUAUUCUAUUAAUGGAAAAUAGUUUUUACAAAUACCUACAAUUAAAAAGCUAUAUUUAAAUGUUCUAUAUCACUCUCUAUUUAAUCCAAAAACACCGACUGCUACGCCUGUAUGCGCUACACCGGGCUGUGCGCUGUAACGAUAACACAAUAAAAUGUCCUAAUUUUUCACUGAAAUGAUACCUCACAAUUAAGUAUGUUGCAUAUUACUAUUUUAGAAUAAAUGUAUAUCUUACUAGGUUACCAACCUGAGAUGAUCUCGGAGCUGCUGCCUGACGCCGCCAUGUUCUGUAGCCUCACUGACUGAAGCUUGAGGCACUUCUGUUUUUAUUCAAAUACAAGUCACGUUUUAUAACAAUAUAAAUAAAUAAAUAUAAACGAUACGUUUUUAUCAAUGGUUAAACAGGGUUAAUGACUAAACCAACAAGAAGCAUCCAGAAAUGAUUUUUUCCAAACACAGGUGUGCACACAGGAUUUCUUAGCUGUCCUAUGAACUCUGGACCACAGAACAAAUCCUGAAGGUUGUUGAGUUUUUUCAGAAACAAUAGAAAACACACAACAAAAAAAUAAAAAUCUAUUUAUUUAAAGCACAAAAUGAUGAGAAUCUAUGUCCUGAUAGCAGCAGAAGCCACACCACAGAAGGAAUGGUGGUGUCCACAAUAUCCAGGAUAACCUCCCGCCUCCUUAAAAGGGGGACGGAGCUCCCUUCAGGUGAGGGGGGGCUUUGAGAAUCUAUUGUAGUACUUUUAAAUUGAUUUUAAAUGAUUGAUAAGAAGAAAAGGGAGAGGACAAAGAGGAAGCACAUUCUCACCAAUGUUGUUACAUGGAUGAGGGCGAUGUCAUUAUCCUCAUCCACAUUUUCAAUGGUGGCCUGCAAAUAACCCCCACUCUUCAGCUUGACCUGAAUCCUGUGGCUCCCCUUUACAACGUGGGCACAGGUUAUAAUAUCACCAUAGGGUGAGAUUAUGAACCCUGUGCCCCCACUCCUGAAUGUGCUCCUAAGGAAUGCACUUCUAAAGAGAGACAGAGGGGACAACUGAUUUAAAGGGCAUGUAUGCCAUGCAAUUCUUAAGCUUACAUGCAUAUAUAUAUGACAAUAAGUUACCUCUGGCUCACUUAAGAACGAUUUUUGAAAAUAAAGUUAGUUAUUUAAGUCCCUUUUGCAUAUUUGUAUAUUGGUAUAUUUGUGUACAUAUAUAUAU
Oryzias latipes (Japanese medaka) is the source of this 4694-nucleotide long non-coding RNA. RefSeq lists it as uncharacterized. The record is from RefSeq and is a predicted model, not a curated record. NCBI's taxonomy places the organism in Eukaryota, Metazoa, Chordata, Actinopteri, Beloniformes, Adrianichthyidae.